UGGGGAAUCUUGCGCAAUGGGCGAAAGCCUGACGCAGCAACGCCGCGUGGGGGAUGAAGGCUCUCGGGUUGUAAACCCCUUUCAGGAGGGACGAAAAUGACGGUACCUCCAGAAGAAGCCCCGGCCAACUACGUGCCAGCAGCCGCGGUAACACGUAGGGGGCGAGCGUUGUCCGGAUUUAUUGGGCGUAAAGAGCUCGUAGGCGGUUUGGCAAGUCGGGUGUGAAAUUUCGAGGCUCAACCUCGAAACGCCACUUGAUACUGCCAUGACUGGAGUCCGGUAGAGGAGUGCGGAAUUCCUGGUGUAGCGGUGAAAUGCGCAGAUAUCAGGAGGAACACCAACGGCGAAGGCAGCACUCUGGGCCGGUACUGACGCUGAGGAGCGAAAGCGUGGGGAGCAAACAGGAUUAGAUACCCGGGUAGUCCCUGAGCGGGCUGGCAAGGCGCAU
This 448-nucleotide ribosomal RNA is filed under the name uncultured bacterium. RNAcentral describes it as "bacterial SSU rRNA". It matches the Rfam family "Bacterial small subunit ribosomal RNA", at positions 355 to 825 of the family's 1533-position model. The record is from RNAcentral.